GAUUUUAUAGGGCUUAACUUUUAGUUAACAAAUGAUUUGGUCAAAAUUUUAGGACUAGAAUUGUGAAUUACACUGGAAGAUCUCCCCAAAAAAGAAAAGGAAAGGAAAACGGUCUCAUACAAAACUACGGGAAUUCAAAUAUGCUAAAGGUUACAUAAUUGAUACCUCAAUUCAAGCCAGCUUAUAGAAUAAAUCUAGUAAAUGAUUUAUGUUUCACUUGAAUUGUUUAACGCAAUAACGUGUAAAAAUCACAGUUUUCUAGUAAUGGAGUCGUAUGACAACUCAAUUAGUAGCCCUCAAGCAAGUCAAAAGGCAUGUUUAAAUCAAACUUCAGCAGAUGAUUUUCUAACUAUCUCGAGGACCCCAAUUUCAAAAGACUUUUCUUUUACCAAAGACUUUUCAUAUCCACAUCAACCAAAGAAAAAAAAGAACCGCACCCAAUUUCUAUUCUAGUAGAUAUGCCAUGCCAUACAACCAAAGUAUCCAUUCCUUAAUUUGGAAACGCUGGUCCGGCAUGGGGUGGUAGAUAAAAUACACUUGCAAAAUUUUUACCUUGCUUCAUCUUGUUCUCAGGUGAUGGGAAAUCAAUUGAGUUAACAUUAGGAUAGUGAGGAAUUGCCUGGAAGGCUGGCGGAAAGGCCUGUGUACGAGGAGCCCCUCGUGUUAGAAGCACCAACUGCAAAUUCACAAGUACCUAAUUUCUCCAAAAAGAAUUUUUCUAGCUGAAACAAUUCAAAUCAAUGCAUGACAAAAAAUGUUAGAUUGGCAAAAACAAAGACAAAUACAACCUCAUCAGAGAGCUUUUUCAUGUAAAGGAUCAUCAAAACUCCAAACCCACAAGUACCUAAUUUCUCCAAAAAGAAUUUUUCUAGCUGAAACAAUUCAAAUCAAUGCAUGACAAAAAUGUUAGAUUGGCAAAAACAAAGACAAGUACAACCUCAUCAAAGAGCUUUUUCAUGUAAAGGCCUCGUUUGUUUCUCUGUAGUACUACAUAGUAUGUGAAAAGUUGCGUACAUCCCAUUACUAAUAAAAAUGGCCCUUCUGACUGAAGUGAUGAAGGUGCAAAUUCCAUGGGGCCAACACCCAACAAAAAAAGACAUAAAAAAAAAACCCAAUACCUUCAUCAUGAGAGAGAGAGCCUUUCUACCUUCCACACCAAUCUUUUCUUCUACAUUUUUUCUCUUUCUUGAUUAGCAGAAUCAACAUCAUUAUGCAGAAGAGACUAUGCUCUGCUAAGUGUAAACAUAACUUUCUUUCCACAACCACAGCAUUCAAAUAUUGAUACACAUACUUUACAACAAAUAUAUAUAUAUAGGGAGCCCUUCCAUAGCAACCGGUUGCUAUGAGAACUGUGCAACAACCCUUUUUUGUACCGUUGAUAAACUUAUUGGAAGGCUGAGAUUGAAACAUAAAUAUACCCAGCCGGCACAACUUGUACCGGCUUUUAUUUUAAUAUGAGGACCCCACCAUAGUCAACAUGUUGUCAGUUUAUUGAAAUAAAAUGAAUUUUUAAUAUUAAAUAAUGCCCGACCGGCACAGCUUGUACCGGCUGUGCCUUUUUUAUAAAAUACUUCNNN
Molecule: long non-coding RNA, 1577 nt
Filed under: Panax ginseng (ginseng)
Lineage: Eukaryota; Viridiplantae; Streptophyta; Magnoliopsida; Apiales; Araliaceae
Description: long non-coding RNA (PGIN_LNC015240)
Source: RNAcentral